CUGAGCAACUGAACUGAACUGAUGUGUGUGUGUGUGAGCUGAACUAGCAUCCUAUACACUAUUUCAUGUUAGUCAGAGAUCCACACCCAAGGAUGAGUGUUGGAAGUAUAUCAGAAAAAUGAAAUUCCAAUUUGAUUCUGGAUGUGGCUAUCAUAAGCAGGUUUGUGGCAAAAAUCCCUACUCAAUGCCAGACUUUAGUUAAUGACAAAUCUGUCUAUAAAUUAGUAGUUUGUUAAUUAGCAUAAGGGCUGUUUGGCAGGGAUGUUUAUUUAGAGCAUUUAGCUAGAACUUUUUUGAGACCUCCGGACUCUCCUGGUUAGAGGGCACAAGAAUCCAGCAAGGGUAGUAGAUUUUACAUCAGGGUUGACAACCAAGGAUUAAUAUCUAAAAGGCCUUUAAAAGCCUUAUAGCCAGUCCUUGGCUUUGAUCACGGUUUCUCAACCUCGGCACUGUUGACAUUUGGGGCUGGCUAAGUCUUUGUCUUGCAGGGGGUUUCCUGUGCCUUUCAAGACGUUUAGUGACAUCCUUGAUCUACAUUCACCAGAUGCCAGGGGAAGCCCUCUUUCCUCUCCUCUUGUUUGGUCAACUCAUGAUGUCUCCAGAUACUGACAGAUGUCCACUGUGGGGAGCGGUGGGCUCAAAACUGCCCCAGUUGAGGAAGACUAGUUGAAAGGGUAUAGUGACUUGGGACCAGCUAUAAGGACAAUAAAGUUCUGAAAUGGGUUGUUAUCAUGUCCAUCUUCAGUAAAUCUUUCAUAGAUGGAUUGAGAUCACUUUAAAGCAGAGGUACCCAGCCUCUUUGGCACCAGGGCCCAGUGUCAAGGAAGACAGUUUUUCCACACACUGGUGAGGGGUUGGUUUUGGGAUGAUUCAAGCCCGUUACACUUGCUGCGCAUGUUUUUUCUAAUCUAGUGUUGCUGCUGGUCUGACAGGAGGUGACAGUUCAUGGCCCAGAGGUUGGGGCCCUGCCUUAAAGGAUGGAGUCCUAAGGUGUCUUUGGGCUCACAAAACAGGUCCCCUGAGCUUUUCUGUGCUUACUUGCUAAUAAAUGUUUAUAUCUAUAGCUACAUAGUAGUUAACUGGGGGAAUAGAUUUGUUUGAUUAUGUGGGUUAAUGACUUUGAGUUAAUGAGUUCUUCUACCUUGAGCUUCUUGGUGUUUACCAUUGUCUACCAUACAGGACCUAUGGACUGUGACCGAAUUGCCUCUGGUCAGUUCUCAUCAGCGUGGACCGUGACAAAUAACUGAUUUGGUUGGAAGAUGGACCCCUUUCAGGGCCCAAGAGUGGGCUCUUGUCUAGCACUAGAAAGUGAGCUGUCCGAGAAGACGAGGAGACGCGUGCUGACCAAGCAAGAGGUUUUAUUGGGGAGGGUCACCCAGGUGGACCGCUCUGCCACGUGGCUUGCAGACCCAGGUUUUAUGGUGGUGGGACUCGUUUCUGGGUUGUCUCUGGCCAAUCACUCUGACCCAGGGUCCCUCCUGGUGGUGCACGCAUCCAUCAUUCAGCCAAGAUGGAUUCCAGUGAGAAGGAUUCUGGGCAGACGUAUGGACCGGCAUCUCCCUUUGACCUUUCCCGGACUGUUCCAGUUGGUGGUGGCUUGUUAGUUCCAUGUUUCUUACCAGGACCUCCCGUCGUAAAAUAAUUCACCCGAAUGGUUACUGUGGUGCCUGGCCUGGAGGAUGGCUUCUGUCAGCGUUUGCCCUGACAUGACUGUAGGUCUCAAGAGGACACAAGGCUGAGACUUUGCCUCUGCUCACCCCCUCCUGACCCCCGCACACCCCCGUGCCCUCCAGAGUCUCUGGAGUUCAUCCACACUUUCUACCAAAUGGAACCAAGUGCAUGCUCAUCACAAAAUACAGCAUCCGUCUGCAGUUUUAAAGUGCCCCGGGGACUCUAUACAGACCCCUAAACUAAGCUGGAAUCCCCCAGGAUUUCCCCACCUCCGUCUCCCUGAGAAUCCUCCAGGGGAGCUGCUUCUGCAGUCAAGUAACUUUUCAGGGCAGCGGGGUUCCGCUUUCCUCAGCAGAGGCCCCCAGCCCAGCGCUUCUUUGCAAAUCGUUCUCCUUCGCAUCAGCUCCACCAGGCGGCUUUCCGCAGGGAGGCCCUCUGCGGUCCUGUCCUGAGGUCCCCGGGGGCUCUGUGCUUGCUCUCUCCCGAGGGGAAAGUUAACGGCUUCAUUGUGUCUAUGCGGGAUCCUUAAUGAAUGGACCUGAAUAAUUCAAGACAGGAUGUCAGUGAAGAGGACACAGCCAACACCUGGGCUGGACAAAGAUUUCUUUGGCUGCUUUGGGGGCGGGGGCAGGGAUGCUCAGUCUUCAUUUUACCAUAUUGUGUUCCCAGCUGCAAACAGUCCAAAAGACAGAGGCAGGCUCUUUCCCUUUUGAGGAGACAACUGCGGCUGUCAGGGGUGUGUGUGUGUGUGUGUGUGUGUGUGUGUGUGUGUGUGUGUGUGUGUGUGUGUUUGUGUUUCCUUGCCAAGGCAAAUUCAGAUGAUAAAUCCGGCACCUUCAAAAAGA
Cervus elaphus (red deer) is the source of this 2516-nucleotide long non-coding RNA. RefSeq lists it as uncharacterized. The record is from RefSeq and is a predicted model, not a curated record. The transcript has 2 exons. Lineage: Eukaryota; Metazoa; Chordata; Mammalia; Artiodactyla; Cervidae.